GAAAGUGUUUAUUUUGUAUUGUUUAUUUCUACUUAAAAAAAAUUCAUUCAUGCUGUAUUGUUACCAUUUAAACAAUUUGGUUUCCAGCUUUCAAAUAUCGUUCUGCCGGGGUAGAUGAAUUAUGCAACCUAUAUGGAGGAGAGGAAAUCAUCGAGGGAGUCGAGAAGAAACGCUGGAGAACAUUGCCAAGUUGCAGGAAAAGCAGAAGGUAGCGUAUGCCAAGAGUGCAGAAAAAAUACAGGGAUUUACACUACCGUGUUGGCGAUGAGGUUCUCCUCUACAACAUGACUUCCUUGGCCCUUAUGUCAUCAAGGAGCUGUGUGGCAAUUUAGUUUAGUUGGCAUAUUAUGACUGUGCUAUCCUGAAGAACAAGAUUAACAUUAACCACAUAAAGCCAUACAAAAGGAGUAAAGAAGCAACAUGCCCCAGGCAGCAAAGUGAAAGGACGUCGGUGAUUCAACUUGCCCUGAAGAGACAGGAUAGCACUACGGAGGUACAACCAAACUCUCUACCUGAAAAGCUUGCAUACACAUAUAUUGCAUAUAGUGUACUUCUGUAUCCUCAGCAUAUUCUUUCUGUUUGUACAAUUUUUUUUAUUUUUUUUUAUGUAGUUGCUUAACUUUACUUUUUUUUUUUUUUUAAAGCCUUCUGCAUCUUUGAAUUUACAGCAGAGCAUGGAAGACAGAGGUAGCAUUUGCAAAGGUCUUCAUUUUCUAUUUAGACCCUGUUGGUCAUUUAAUUGGCUAUGCCCUGUUAGUCUGGCCUUUUCAUUCAGGUGGCCAUUCUGGCCCUUGUUUAUAGUUGCCGCUGUUUGGCAUUAUGUUCUUGUUUUAUUAGCCUUACAAGUUAAUAUUCUACCAAAGAACCUAUACAGGUUGACCCCUUUAUCACAAAUGCUUUUGGACAUAGGUUUUGAUGUACGGAUAUUUGCAUAUAUGAUGAGAGCUCAUGCAAAAUGGCUGCUGUAUUUGGAACCAAUACUUUAGAAUUUGAAGAUAAGGCAUACUCGAUAGUACAAUAACUUAACUGCGGUUUAAGGGUUUUUUAUUUAUUUUUUUUAUUUAAAGGGCUGUGGAGUGCUGAAGAUAACGAC
This is a non-coding RNA of Pelobates cultripes (western spadefoot toad), 1093 nucleotides long. The record is from the annotation of a GenBank genome assembly. NCBI's taxonomy places the organism in Eukaryota, Metazoa, Chordata, Amphibia, Anura, Pelobatidae.